UACGAAGGGGGCUAGCGUUGCUCGGAAUCACUGGGCGUAAAGGGUGCGUAGGCGGGUCUUUAAGUCAGGGGUGAAAUCCUGGAGCUCAACUCCAGAACUGCCUUUGAUACUGAGAAGCUCGAGUCCGGGAGAGGUGAGUGGAACUGCGAGUGUAGAGGUGAAAUUCGUAGAUAUUGGGAAGAACACCGGUGGCGAAGGCGGCUCACUGGCUCGUAACUGACGCUCAGGCGCGACAGCGUGGGGAUCAAACAGG
RNAcentral lists this ribosomal RNA (253 nucleotides) under uncultured bacterium. RNAcentral describes it as "partial 16S ribosomal RNA". It matches the Rfam family "Bacterial small subunit ribosomal RNA", at positions 524 to 776 of the family's 1533-position model. The record is from RNAcentral.